Physcomitrium patens is the source of this 2786-nucleotide RNA transcript. RefSeq lists it as uncharacterized. Lineage: Eukaryota; Viridiplantae; Streptophyta; Bryopsida; Funariales; Funariaceae. The record is from RefSeq and is a predicted model, not a curated record.
UUCAGGCCUCCGAAGGGGCUUACCCUCUGCACUGUCAUGAACCGUUGUAUGAAUCAAAAAAUCUCAGGUGAUCUUAACUUACUGGAAUGAAGCUGUUUUCUCCUUCUCCUCACUCCUCUGCAUCUUGACCGCUUUCAAUCGUUGAUCGGCAGUAAUGUGCCGCCGAGAGAACGGAUGAUACUCCGUACACCUGAGUCCGACAUUAAUGUUGGUAGAUGGGUGUUGUAAUGGGAUUUUUAUAUAUCAAAUUGCACUUUUGGAAAUUGACGUCCAUAGCAGCGGAUAAUUUAUCUUCACAAUGUGGUGGGAAUGGAAGCAGUAAUGCGCAACGCCAAGCCAAUUGCCAACAUGUUGAGAUCAAUUGCCAACAUCUUGAUGUGUUCCUACAUGACAUGCAUACAGUUAACCGCUUCCCCACACGUAGAUUUCUAUGAGAGUAGCUGACCGAGUAUGUUGAAUUUUUACAUUUGAUCAUCACCAUCAACUUCGUGAUAGAUGAUGCAUUUACAAAACAACCAGCAAUCUUAGUCUCUUCCAUGUAGAAACGUAUAGUAAACAGAGUGCACUGCAACUUGCCCUGCCAUCCACUUCUUUAUCCCGAAUUCUACUUCCAUUUCACUCUCGUUGCUGAGAAGCUGCUGUGAUCGGUACACAUACCUCACAACACAUUUGAUGGGAAAACACACUAUCUAUAGGAAACAUCCACUUUUCGGCACUUGAGAAAGGUCUCUGCUGCCAACGCUAUGGCUGAGGUGAAGGAGAGACAAAAAAGUGUCCGCGAAUUGACGGCAGUUAAAGAAGAAACGUUCUUGAAGAGCUUCCGCAAUGAUUUCGCCAUUAGUGUCGAAGAAUUCAAAGAGACUCAGGCUGUCCAUCCAUCCCAGGAUCGCCAUGGAACGCUACAGCCUGGUUUCAUGAAAACACGGCCUCCAGGUGUGACAGCGGAGAACAAGCGUCAUAUGGCUCUGAAAGGUGCCCAGGAUUGGGACGACGAAAAAUUCCACAAUGACUCUUACAGUGCGCAUGACUCGCGUGUCGAGGAGGCUCGAAGGCGAGGGUCUCAAUUCCAAGACGUCCUCAUCAAGCCUCAGCAUAUGCUGGAAUUGGACGAGAAGAGGAAAUGGUCACGAAGUUCAUUGUUUGGAGGAUGCUUGAACGCCGGUAAAAGAGACAGUAUGCCACCGGAGAAUUCGAAGACAGGGCAAUUCUCGCAAACGAGGUCGAAAUCGUUCAUGGACAGGAGGAAGAGUAGCGUGAGUUUUAGAGAAUCUCGAAGGAAAUCAUCCUUGAAUAAUUCUAUAGCAUUCAACCGAACUUCAAUUAUGACCCAGAGAAGAGGCAAGAGUAUGUUGCAAAUUGAUCGAGAACAAACAAUCCAAGCGCGUCGGGAGUCGAACAUGGAUUCCAUAGGAACUUGCACUUAUGUUAAAGUGAGACACAUCCUCUCAGAGAAGCAGGGUUUGAUGAUGGAUGUUUAUAACCAACUUCAACGAGGGUGGUUAGUCUUCGGGCACAAAGUGCCUCCCAAGGAGUUCAGCAAAGUAGUUACUUCUAACUCUUCUCACGAUUCUUCCACUUCUUCCGAUUCAUGUAUAUCAUUAUUCAGCUUUGGAUUGAGAUGCAUUAAUGCAUUAAGUUUGAACCACAAAAGUUUACGUUCCAGCCGUGAUCAUGUCGACAUGAUGAAGUCACUGACAACAUGGCUAGCUACGAAAACAUGUAGCUUGCAAAGAAAUAUUCGGAGUGCAGGUCAGCAAAGGAUGGAGGCGACUUGGGGUGGGUUGCUCGAGCAAAACUAGGCACAGCUGGGCCCUUUCAAGAGGUUUCCUUCACCACUCCCGUUGGUUCGUGCAGCAACGUCUUCCAAUCCUCGCAAGGAUUUCAUGUAGUGCUGGUAGAAGCUAGGAAAAACUGAUCAACGACCCACUGCCUUGUCAAUGCUAAUGCUUCCAUGGUGGCAAACUCCCAAGUACCGAGCCGUACUGUGUUUGGAUGGAAAGAACGGCACAUCAAGUGGGGCAUCUGCUUGUUUUAAAGCGCCAAGGGAGUUACGUUUCAUGUUAGAUUGAAGUACGCCAGGUACCUCAAGACAUGUCGGGAAUCUAAUUCACCGUUGCUUCCACCAGCAUGCUUGUUUGAAAAGCGUUAUCUACAACAACCUGCCAUUGUAAAAAGGAGUUUUACACCAAAGAAAAUCGCAAAGGAUAAUUCAUUGUGCUAACUGCCUCAUCCAUUGAAGUAGCUUACUGCCUCUUCCCUGUGUAGGGUGCGGUACAAAACACUGUCACCUAAGUUCACCAUUUUCGCACAUCAAUUUGCACGUAACAGAGGGCGACACUUAGACGAUUCGUUUUCGACACCACUUCAGAAGUUGUCAAUCGAAAAAGAUGAAUAUCAACGUGGAAAACAAAAAGAAAAAAAGAAAAAAAACCUGAGAAGAGAAACUGUUCUUCAAGCGGCAGAAUGAGCAAGAAAAAGUUUAAAAAAAUUUGGAACAACGGUUUCAAAUAGGAAGACACACCUGCGAGUGAAAGUAAGGUGCAGCAAGAAUGAAAAAGAAGGUCAGUUAGAGUUGUGCAAAGCCCCCACCGUUGUCACCCACAUGUGAGGAAUCUUAGCGUACGUCAGCGGACCUUCUACAGUUGAAAUGCGGCAUUGGCUGCGGCCAAUAGAGAGCUUCGAGUAUGUUGAGCUCCAAGAGUUUGGGACGAAAUUCAAGUGUUGUGCAAUUGUUUACUAGUUACUGCCGGCUGAUCUUAUUUGUGAAGAAUGUGUGUUCAAAGAUU